Molecule: ribosomal RNA, 253 nt
Filed under: uncultured bacterium
Lineage: Bacteria
Description: partial 16S ribosomal RNA
Rfam family: Bacterial small subunit ribosomal RNA
Source: RNAcentral
UACGGAGGGUGCAAGCGUUAUCCGGAUUUACUUGGUUUAAAGGGUGCGUAGGUGGAUUAGUAAGUCAGUGGUGAAGUCUCCGGGCUUAACCCGGAAACUGCCAUUGAUACUAUUAGUCUUGAAUAUCCUGGAGGUGAGCGGAAUAUGUCAUGUAGCGGUGAAAUGCUUAGAUAUGACAUAGAACACCAAUUGCGAAGGCAGCUCACUACGGGAUUAUUGACACUGAGGCACGAAAGCGUGUGGAUCAAACAGU